This 468-nucleotide ribosomal RNA is filed under the name uncultured bacterium. RNAcentral's name for it is "partial 16S ribosomal RNA". It matches the Rfam family "Bacterial small subunit ribosomal RNA", at positions 28 to 507 of the family's 1533-position model. The record is from RNAcentral.
GACGAACGCUGGCGGCGUGCUUAACACAUGCAAGUCGAACGGAAAGGCCCUGCUUUUGUGGGGUGCUCGAGUGGCGAACGGGUGAGUAACACGUGAGUAACCUGCCCUUGACUUUGGGAUAACGUCAGGAAACUGGGGCUACUACCGGAUAGGAGCUCCUGCUGCAUUGUGGGGGUUGGAAAGUUUCGGCGGGUGGGGAUGGACGCGCGGCUUAUCAGCUUGUUGGUUGGGUAGUGGCUUACCAAGGCUUUGACGGGUAGCCGGCCUGAGAGGGUGACCGGCCACAUUGGGACUGAGAUACGGCCCAGACUCCUACGGGAGGCAGCAGUGGGGAAUAUUGCACAAUGGGCGGAAGCCUGAUGCAGCAACGCCGCGUGCGGGAUGACGGCCUUCGGGUUGUAAACCGCUUUCGCCUGUGACGAAGCGUGAGUGACGGUAAUGGGUAAAGAAGCACCGGCUAACUACGUG